Molecule: long non-coding RNA, 570 nt
Filed under: Trifolium pratense (red clover)
Lineage: Eukaryota; Viridiplantae; Streptophyta; Magnoliopsida; Fabales; Fabaceae
Description: long non-coding RNA (TPRA_LNC010008)
Source: RNAcentral
UGAUGCACCGAGUUCGCUGAGCCUGUAAACAAUCGAUGAUUUCUUUCGGUCCACACAACCCAAACACAAGCCAACCAUACGAGCUGCAUGAAAGAACGUCGAGCUCUAGAACCACCUGCUGAAUCCGUAAACUGAACGAAGUGUUCUGGAAGAGUCUGAGCAGUCACCAAAGAAGACCCAAUCCAGGAGCUGACAAGGGACCACAGGGGACCAAAAGAGCUGCAAUAGAGAAACAAGUGCUGAGCCGACUCAACCUCUCCACAACCAGAGACACAGAGAUGAGCCUCCGUAGAUAAAACCCCUCGAAUAACCAGGUUUGCUUUUGUAGGUAACCUGUCCCGCAAGAGUCGCCAUGCACAUAUGGAAACCUUCAAAGGAACCUGGCGGUGCCAGAUAAGUCCUGACGCAGCAUCCAAAGUAACUGUAUCCUGAGUCGUCAAAAGCUGAUAAGCACCACGAACCGUGUAACCGUCAUCCAAGUCAACCCGCCACUGCCACCUAUCUGAAACAUGAUCCUGCAAAGAGAUGGUGAGUAGAUAAGCCUGACACUCCCCCAACAACUCCUCCUCC